AUGUUAGAUACAUCGGGUUUAUCCAAGGCAUGGUGGGGGGAGGCUGUAUUGAAAUCUUGUCAUGUCCUGAAUAAAGUUCCCACAAAGGAUAAUGAGAUUACUCCCUAUGAGCAAUGGGAAAAGAAAAGAAUUACACUCUCUUACUUGCGCACUUGGGGCUGUUUGGCGAAAGUCAAUGUGCCGAUAAUCAAAAAGCACAAGUUGGGACCAAAGACCGUGGACUGUGUUUUUCUUGGCUAUGCCAAGCAUAGCGUUGGAUAUAGAUUUCUAGUGGUGAAAUCUGAGGUACCUGACCAGAAGGCGAUACAAUUAUAG
RNAcentral lists this ribosomal RNA (315 nucleotides) under Triticum aestivum (bread wheat). RNAcentral describes it as "partial small subunit ribosomal RNA". The record is from RNAcentral. Lineage: Eukaryota; Viridiplantae; Streptophyta; Magnoliopsida; Poales; Poaceae.